RNAcentral lists this ribosomal RNA (279 nucleotides) under uncultured bacterium. RNAcentral's name for it is "partial 16S ribosomal RNA". It matches the Rfam family "Bacterial small subunit ribosomal RNA", at positions 506 to 784 of the family's 1533-position model. The record is from RNAcentral.
UGCCAGCCGCCGCGGUAAUACGAAGGGACCUAGCGUAGUUCGGAAUUACUGGGCUUAAAGAGUUCGUAGGUGGUUGAAAUAGUUGGUGGUGAAAUCCCAGAGCUUAACUCUGGAACUGCCAUCAAAACUUUUCAGCUAGAGUAUGAUAGAGGAAAGCAGAAUUUCUAGUGUAGAGGUGAAAUUCGUAGAUAUUAGAAAGAAUACCAAUUGCGAAGGCAGCUUUCUGGAUCAUUACUGACACUGAGGUGCGAAAGCGUGGGGAGCAAACAGGAUUAGAUA